This 328-nucleotide unclassified non-coding RNA is filed under the name soil metagenome. Its description in RNAcentral is "partial contains 5.8S ribosomal RNA, internal transcribed spacer 2, and large subunit ribosomal RNA". The stretch from base 1 to 119 matches the Rfam family "5.8S ribosomal RNA", at positions 35 to 154 of the family's 154-position model. The record is from RNAcentral.
GAUGAAGAACGCAGCGAAAUGCGAUAAGUAAUGCGAAUUGCAGAAUCCGUGAAUCAUCGAAUCUUUGAACGCACAUUGCGCCCCUUGGUAUCCCGAGGGGCAUGCCUGUUCGAGCGUCAUUUCACCACUCAAGCCUGGCUUGGUGUUGGGCGACGUCCUCUUUGGGGACGCGCCUCGAAACGCUCGGCGGCGUGGCACCGGCUUUAAGCGUAGCAGAAUCUUUCGCUUUGGAAGUCGGGGCCCCGUCUGCCGGAAGACCUGCUCGCAAGGUUGACCUCGGAUCAGGCAGGGAUACCCGCUGAACUUAAGCAUAUCAAUAAGCGGAGGA